UGGGGAAUAUUGCACAAUGGGCGGAAGCCUGAUGCAGCGACGCCGCGUGGGGGAUGAAGGCCUUCGGGUUGUAAACUCCUUUCGACAGGGACGAAGCUUUCGUGACGGUACCUGUAUAAGAAGCACCGGCUAACUACGUGCCAGCAGCCGCGGUAAUACGUAGGGUGCGAGCGUUGUCCGGAAUUACUGGGCGUAAAGAGCUCGUAGGUGGUUUGUCGCGUCGUCUGUGAAAUUCCGGGGCUUAACUCCGGGCGUGCAGGCGAUACGGGCUGACUUGAGUGCUGUAGGGGAGACUGGAAUUCCUGGUGUAGCGGUGAAAUGCGCAGAUAUCAGGAGGAACACCGAUGGCGAAGGCAGGUCUCUGGGCAGUAACUGACGCUGAGGAGCGAAAGCAUGGGUAGCGAACAGG
This 409-nucleotide ribosomal RNA is filed under the name bacterium. RNAcentral describes it as "partial 16S ribosomal RNA". It matches the Rfam family "Bacterial small subunit ribosomal RNA", at positions 355 to 776 of the family's 1533-position model. The record is from RNAcentral.